Molecule: ribosomal RNA, 424 nt
Filed under: uncultured bacterium
Lineage: Bacteria
Description: bacterial SSU rRNA
Rfam family: Bacterial small subunit ribosomal RNA
Source: RNAcentral
UAGGGAAUAUUGGACAAUGGAGGCAACUCUGAUCCAGCCAUGCCGCGUGAAUGAUGAAGGCCUUAGGGUUGUAAAGUUCUUUUAGUGGGGAAGAUAAUGACGGUACCCACAGAAAAAGCCCCGGCUAACUCUGUGCCAGCAGCCGCGGUAAUACAGAGGGGGCUAGCGUUGUUCGGAAUUACUGGGCGUAAAGGGCGCGUAGGCGGUUUAUUAAGUUAGAAGUGAAAUCCCAGGGCUUAACCCUGGAAUUGCUUUUAAUACUGAUAAGCUAGAGACCGGUAGGGGAUAGUGGAAUUCUUAGUGUAGGAGUGAAAUCCGUAGAUAUUAAGAGGAACACCAGUGGCGAAGGCGGCUAUCUGGACCGGUUCUGACGCUGAGGCGCGAAAGUGUGGGGAGCAAACAGGAUUAGAUACCCCUGUAGUCC